Molecule: ribosomal RNA, 342 nt
Filed under: Brachionus sp. SP-2007a
Lineage: Eukaryota; Metazoa; Rotifera; Eurotatoria; Ploima; Brachionidae
Description: partial 16S ribosomal RNA
Rfam family: Bacterial large subunit ribosomal RNA
Source: RNAcentral
CAAAGUAUCUUCUGCCCACUGAUAAAAUUUAAUGGCCGCAGUACCCUGACUGUGCUAAGGUAGCGUGAUUCUUGUUUUCUUAAUUAGAAAUCUGUUCAAAGAAUGAAAUGGAGAGAAUCUAUUGUUUCUAUAGCAAGUGAAUUUAAAAUGUUAGUGAAAAUUCUGACAAGUCCUUAAAAGACGAGAAGACCCCAUAAAACUUAAUUUGAUCUCUUUCUUAAGAGUUUAAAAUUUAAAUGGGGACUUUAGAGUAUAAUAAUAACUUAAAGACCUAUAUUUAUAUUAUUAGCGAAGCUACUUUGGGGAUAACAGGGUAAAAUAUUUAGAGAGUUCAUAUCGAUA